This 686-nucleotide ribosomal RNA is filed under the name Faecalibacterium prausnitzii. Its description in RNAcentral is "bacterial SSU rRNA". It matches the Rfam family "Bacterial small subunit ribosomal RNA", at positions 438 to 1150 of the family's 1533-position model. Lineage: Bacteria; Bacillati; Bacillota; Clostridia; Eubacteriales; Oscillospiraceae. The record is from RNAcentral.
GUUGAGGAAGAUAAUGACGGUACUCAACAAGGAAGUGACGGCUAACUACGUGCCAGCAGCCGCGGUAAAACGUAGGUCACAAGCGUUGUCCGGAAUUACUGGGUGUAAAGGGAGCGCAGGCGGGAAGACAAGUUGGAAGUGAAAUCCAUGGGCUCAACCCAUGAACUGCUUUCAAAACUGUUUUUCUUGAGUAGUGCAGAGGUAGGCGGAAUUCCCGGUGUAGCGGUGGAAUGCGUAGAUAUCGGGAGGAACACCAGUGGCGAAGGCGGCCUACUGGGCACCAACUGACGCUGAGGCUCGAAAGUGUGGGUAGCAAACAGGAUUAGAUACCCUGGUAGUCCACACCGUAAACGAUGAUUACUAGGUGUUGGAGGAUUGACCCCUUCAGUGCCGCAGUUAACACAAUAAGUAAUCCACCUGGGGAGUACGACCGCAAGGUUGAAACUCAAAGGAAUUGACGGGGGCCCGCACAAGCAGUGGAGUAUGUGGUUUAAUUCGACGCAACGCGAAGAACCUUACCAAGUCUUGACAUCCUKUGACGAUGCUGGAAACAGUAUUUYUCUUCGGARCRCGGAGACAGGUGGUGCAUGGUUGUCGUCAGCUCGUGUCGUGAGAUGUUGGGUUAAGUCCCGCAACGAGCGCAACCCUUAUGGUCAGUUACUACGCAAGAGGACUCUGGCCGGACU